Non-coding RNA from Pelobates cultripes (western spadefoot toad), 215 nucleotides. The record is from the annotation of a GenBank genome assembly. NCBI's taxonomy places the organism in Eukaryota, Metazoa, Chordata, Amphibia, Anura, Pelobatidae.
UUGCUCCAAGGAACACUAUGUGUCUGGAUGGAAUAAGAUUGCUUUUGUCUCUGUUUGUGAGCCACCCAAAUUCUUGUAGCGUUAAGAUCACCUCUUCUGUCUGAUGGACUGCUGUGUGGUAUUCCUGUGCUACUACCAGGAUAUCAUCCAAGUAGUGGAAUACUUAGAUUCCUCUUUUUCUCAGGAUUGCAAUGACUGUUACGAGAAACUUCGAG